Molecule: ribosomal RNA, 746 nt
Filed under: uncultured bacterium
Lineage: Bacteria
Description: bacterial SSU rRNA
Rfam family: Bacterial small subunit ribosomal RNA
Source: RNAcentral
AGAGUUUGAUCAUGGCUCAGAGCGAACGCUGGCGGAAUGCUUAACACAUGCAAGUCGCACGGGGGCUUCGGCUCUAGUGGCGGACGGGUGAGUAACGCGUAGGAACGUGUCCUGGGAUGGGGGAUAACGCUGGGAAACUGGCGCUAAUACCGCAUGUCUGCUGAGGCAGAAAGCCUUUGGGUGUCUUGGGAGCGGCCUGCGUCCGAUUAGCUAGUUGGUGGGGUAAAGGCUUACCAAGGCGACGAUCGGUAGCUGGUCUGAGAGGACGAUCAGCCCACUGGGACUGAGACACGGCCCCAGACUCCUACGGGGAGGCAGCAGUGGGGGAAUAUUGGACAAUGGGCGGAAGCCUGAUCCAGCAAUUCCGCGUGGGUGAAGAAGGUCUUCGGAUUGUAAAGCCCUUUCGGCGGGGACGAUGAUGACGGUACCCGCAGAAGAAGCCCCGGCUAACUUCGUGCCAGCAGCCGCGGUAAUACGAAGGGGGCUAGCGUUGCUCGGAAUUACUGGGCGUAAAGGGCGCGUAGGCGGCGCAGUUAGUCAGGCGUGAAAUUCCUGGGCUUAACCUGGGGACUGCGCUUGAUACGGCUGUGCUAGAGGGUGGAAGAGGCUCGCGGAAUUCCCAGUGUAGAGGUGAAAUUCGUAGAUAUUGGGAAGAACACCGGUGGCGAAGGCGGCGAGCUGGUCCAUUACUGACGCUGAGGCGCGACAGCGUGGGGAGCAAACAGGAUUAGAUACCCUAGUAGUCC